Long non-coding RNA from Populus trichocarpa (black cottonwood), 1004 nucleotides. RefSeq lists it as uncharacterized. The transcript has 2 exons. The record is from RefSeq and is a predicted model, not a curated record. NCBI's taxonomy places the organism in Eukaryota, Viridiplantae, Streptophyta, Magnoliopsida, Malpighiales, Salicaceae.
UGGAAGGGCCACCGACAUCCCUUUCCUAUAUCCGUAACAAUGCCACAAAAAAUAGUUCCUCGGUACGUAGCUGAUCCCUUUAAUUCCCACAUCCACCAAUGCGAGGAGCUCCUUUUUUUAUGAAUAAAAAAAGGAGAGCAUUUAUGCUUUGAAUUAAUUUGUUGGCUUGAAAGCUUUGAAUGGUAAUGGAAGGGAAGGAAAGAUCAUCACUUGUUUCAAAAUUAGAUCAGAUGGCCAACAUCUUGACAAAUUGAAUGGUGUUGAAGACGGGCCCAUGAUUUCACACCAGCUAAAUCCAGUUCAUCAUAAAGUCGUCUUUGGAUAGGGUUUGCAUGUAUUCAAGUUUCUGUCACCAUUGAAGGAUCUGGACCAUCUUGUAUCAAUAGUGGAGGCCAGCUUCACCAUGUCCAUGGAAAAGGGAUGAGUCCCUUUCAAGCCUUGCUUAUCCAUGGAGACAAUACAAGAUGCAGGAACCACUCAUUUGCUCUUCUUCUUCUUCUUCUUCUGCGGAAAGAAUAACACUACACAACAAAUUAAUGUAUCUUUCUUCAUAAAGGAUUUGAUCACAAUAUUAGUUUUGUCGAGCGUUUUCAUUGAUUAUGACCGACUGUCUUGCCGAUUCACCCAUGUCCCGUGAUAUUUACUCUCUCUCUCUCUCUUUUUGGUGGAAAUGGCACCACAAAUUUGUGGACAAGAUUGAUUAUAUGACUGGAAGCUUUUAUAAUCCAAAACCAAUAGAGGCAGUGCAGUGGAAGCUGAUAGCAUGUUGAGGGAGGGCAAUCCCAGCAGUCAAGCCAUGGAAGUUUAUUAGAAGGAAGUCUUUACUGGAGAUUUGCUAAGAUUAUAAAUGGAGAGAUUCCAAAUUAUGGGAGAUAUCCAAUUUUAGGCAGUGAGACUCUGCAUUAUCCUCCUAAUGUAAUCUUAACAGUGCAUGCAAUUACAGUUCUUAAUUUUAGCUACGGAAUCCUUAUUAUUGUCUGUUAUAUUUCGACUUUAGUGUUCUU